Molecule: unclassified non-coding RNA, 131 nt
Filed under: soil metagenome
Description: partial contains small subunit ribosomal RNA, internal transcribed spacer 1, and 5.8S ribosomal RNA
Source: RNAcentral
UUUCCGUAGGUGAACCUGCGGAAGGAUCAUUGCAAAUGAUUUGGGAGAAAUUUGUUGGAAUGUGAUGACUACUAUUAGGCAAAUUCAUCCUUUUACUAUUACAACUCUCCACAAUGGAUCUCUGGGCUCUU